AAGGGGGCAGCAAUGCUACCGGCGUACGGGUGCGUAACACGUAUGCAACCUACCUCAAACUGGGGGAUAGCCUGUGGAAACACGGAUUAAUACCCCAUAAUGCAGGGGACCUGCCUGGGUAUAUUGCUAAAGUGGCGACACGGUUUGAGAUGGGCAUGCGCCCAAUUAGCUAGUUGGUGAGGUAACGGCUCACCAAGGCUACGAUUGGUAGGGGGCCUGAGAGGGUAAUCCCCCACACUGGUACUGAGAUACGGACCAGACUCCUACGGGAGGCAGCAGUAGGGAAUAUUGGGCAAUGGGUGGAAGCCUGACCCAGCCAUACCGCGUGGUGGACGAAGGUCUUCGGAUUGUAAACACCUUUUGCAGGGGAAAAAGUCGGGGCUGCGGCCUUGUGUGAUGGUACCCUGCGAAUAAGCACCGGCUAACUACGUGCCAGCAGCCGCGGUAAUACGUAGGGUGCAAGCGUUGUCCGGAUUUAUUGGGUCUAAAGGGUACGUAGGCGGCCUUUUAAGUCAGUGGUGAAAGGUAGCCGCCCAACGGUUGUUAUGCCAUUGAUACUGGGGGGCUUGAGUGCGACAGGGGACACUGGAAUUUGUGGUGUAGCGGUGAAAUGCAUAGAUACCACAAGGAACACCGAAAGCGAAGGCAGGUGUCUGGGUCGCAACUGACGCUG
Molecule: ribosomal RNA, 673 nt
Filed under: uncultured bacterium
Lineage: Bacteria
Description: bacterial SSU rRNA
Rfam family: Bacterial small subunit ribosomal RNA
Source: RNAcentral